Seriola aureovittata is the source of this 323-nucleotide long non-coding RNA. RefSeq lists it as uncharacterized. The record is from RefSeq and is a predicted model, not a curated record. NCBI's taxonomy places the organism in Eukaryota, Metazoa, Chordata, Actinopteri, Carangiformes, Carangidae. The transcript has 3 exons.
AUGAACAGAUCCAGGGUCAGGUUGUCGUACUCCACGGGCACGCCGUCCAGACGGGGGAGGAACUGCUCUGGGGAGUAGAGAGCUUUCUGCCUGUGCAGCCUGUGGAUAACACCGCAUCGGUUAUUCAAGCAGCCUGGCCUGCAGCUGUCUCACCAUCACUUGCCUCUUCCACUCGGCAAUGGGACGGCCUCUCUCAUCGUGGGUGGGCACCAGGUGUGGGUGAAGCUGAAGGUGAGGCGGGCGCAGGAGGGUAUCUGGCCUGCGGGGAGUCCUCACUCUCGGGUCGCUGGUUUGGAAAAACAAGGAGACACAGCGCAUUUGCU